This 1334-nucleotide long non-coding RNA is filed under the name Eptatretus burgeri (inshore hagfish). RNAcentral's name for it is "lncRNA (ENSEBUG00000017452.1)". Lineage: Eukaryota; Metazoa; Chordata; Myxini; Myxiniformes; Myxinidae. The record is from RNAcentral.
GGACAAAUCCUCAGUGAUGUUCCAUCAUCUCCUCCUUGGUGUUGCGCUGGCUGUGAUGUGUAUUGAUUGUUCAGUGAUGGAGAGUGCAGGAGAUAACCAGAGGAUAAGUCUGUCGGUGAUGGAGAACUCUUCUGUCGUGCUGCCUUGUGUCGCCGCCGAUGGCACUGACAAGCUGGAGUCAGCGUGGUGGUGUUUGAGAAUGAACUUACUUCGCUGGAGUGAGGAUGGACGGAGUGGGACAUUGUGGGGGGAUUUAGGGAUCAUGUUCGGGUAAUUGAGGUGAGAGUAGGACAGGUGGUGAGAUGGUGCAGGAAACAAACCAGAAACUUCUCCUUGGUGAUGCAUCACGUGGCCGCAGAAGAUACUGGAAUGUACGAAUGCAAGAUUAGAAUGGAAUCAGGAAAAGAGAACAUAACAAGCAAGUUCUGGGUGAAUAUACAAACAGGCCAAGAUGAUUCCAAGUAUUCAAAUUCAAACCAAACAACAUCCUCCACCUGUUCAACUGUCUCGCCCAGUACAAACCUGACCAAAAUGAAUGACUAUCAAUUCUACUUUAUUCCUUUCCUGUGCGUCUCUGGGAUCAUGGCAUUUUUCUUCUUCUUCUGCAUCUACCUUUUGGUGAAGAUCAUCCAAUUGCAACGAGAUUCAACAGAGCGGAGCAAACCCCAGGACGAUACAGACCAGACAGACCCACUGUCACCAAAACCCACUGAACCGACCUAUGUGACAGCAGAAAAGUCCGAAGUUGUGGAGAACCCAUACAGCUCUAUCAAUCCAACCUGUCCUGAGCUUCCAACACGUCCGGUGCUUCCCUCAGCCAGGAACAAAAGCCAGUGGUUGUGAUUACAAACCAUUUUGUACUUAAUGCAUUGUGUGGAUAUGCUUUGCCUGAAAACAUUUUGUAUAAACUUUUAAAACAAUGUAAAAUAGGACGAUGUUAAAAUACAAAAGGACCGAAAUGGUUUCAGAUUUUAAAACACAGGCCCACCUACUCAAAGCAAAAUAUUCAGUCUUUCUGUAAUUUUUUGCCAAACAAGAGCUUAUUUUUUAUGUGCUGUUAAAUCUUGGUGUCAUUAUUUUAUAAUUAACAUUUUUUUUUCCUUUUUGACAAUGUCGUUGUCUUCUCAUUGUUACAAAUAGAAAGACUUCAGUGUGACAAUCAGUUUGUCUUUGCAAUUUGUUGGCUUGAUGCGUUUCCAUCAAACCGCUUAAUGUGCUCUCAUUUGUACGAAUAAACGUCCGUGUAUGAGACAUUCGUUAGAGUCCUUUUCUCUUCCUUGUAAUUUGACUGGUUGCAUUGGAGUGCUGGGUUUAAGCUGACAAUGACAUAACCC